RNAcentral lists this ribosomal RNA (505 nucleotides) under Abisara echerius. Its description in RNAcentral is "partial 16S ribosomal RNA". Lineage: Eukaryota; Metazoa; Arthropoda; Insecta; Lepidoptera; Riodinidae. The record is from RNAcentral.
UAAUAAUUUAAAGUCUAAUCUGCCCACUGAUAAUUAUUAAAGGGCUGCAGUAUUUUGACUGUACAAAGGUAGCAUAAUCAAUAGUCUUUUAAUUGAAGACUAGUAUGAAAGAUUGAAUGAAAUAUAAACUGUCUUUUUAAUAAAAUUAAAAAUUAAUUUUUUAGUCAAAAAGCUAAAAUGAAUUUAAAAGACGAGAAGACCCUAUAGAGUUUUAUAAUUAAAUUUAUUUUUUUAAAAUAUAAAUAAUUUAAAAAAAAAUAUAUUUAAUUAUUUUGUUGGGGUGAUAAAAAAAUUAAAUAAACUUUUUUUAAAAUUUAACAAAAAUAAUUGAAUAAGUGAUCCAUUAAUUAUGAUUAAAAGAAUAAAUUACCUUAGGGAUAACAGCGUAAUAUUUUUUUUUAGUACAAAUAAAAAAAAAAGUUUGCGACCUCGAUGUUGGAUUAAGAUAAAAAUUAAAUGCAAAAGUUUAAAAUUUUGAUCUGUUCGAUCAUUAAAAUCUUACAUG